GAAAGGAAGGAGUUUGGGUCGUCGGUGACGGCGGAUUUUAGGGAGAGUAGAGCUUGGGUUUCGGAUAAUACGCGGCCGGUGGAAGUUGGGAUGUGGAGGUGGAUGAGGAGGAAGAAGAAGAGGAGAGGGUAAAGGAGUCUCAUCGUAGAUUGAGAAGAACACCUCACACUGCCCGUCCGGCGGGGGGAUCUCCCCGCCGAAGAAGUUCCCUCCGAGGUGGAGGUGGCGGAGGUUGGGCAUUUCAGCGACGGCGAGAGGCAAGUCACCGGUCAUAUUGUUGUUGUAGAUGUCGAGUACCUCGAGGUUCUUGAGCUGGGCUAGCUGCGAGGGGAAAGUAUCAUUAAACCCAUUGUUGGAGAGAUUGAGGUAGCGGAGGUCGGUGGCGGCGGAGAGCUGCGGCGGGAUGGGGCCAGAGAAUUUGUUGACGUCGAGGGAGAGGUUCUGGAGGUAGCGGAGGUGGGAGAUAUCCGGGGAGAGGGUUCCCGUGAGGGAGAGGCUAGAGAGGUCUAAUGAGGUCACGUGACGGCUGGAGAAGUCGCACGUGACUCCCGGCCAGGAGCAGAGGUCGGCGGAGGAGUUCCAGGCGGAAAGGAAGGAGUUUGGGUCGUCGGUGACGGCGGAUUUUAGGGAGAGUAGAGCUUGGGUUUCGGAUAAUACGCGGCCGGUGGAAGUUGGGAUGUGGAGGUGGAUGAGGAGGAAGAAGAAGAGGAGAGGGUAAAGGAGUCUCAUCGUAGAUUGAGAAGAACUAAUCGCCGCCGGAGACGGCGGAGGGAGGAGGAGGAGGAGGAGGAAGAGGAUGAUGAAGAAGGUAAGUGAGAAGAGUGAGG
Molecule: long non-coding RNA, 827 nt
Filed under: Linum usitatissimum (flax)
Lineage: Eukaryota; Viridiplantae; Streptophyta; Magnoliopsida; Malpighiales; Linaceae
Description: long non-coding RNA (LUSI_LNC004411)
Source: RNAcentral